GUCCACGCCGUAAACGAUGCUCACUCGUUUUUGGGGCGUAAGCUUCAGAGACCAAGCGAAAGUGAUAAGUGAGCCACCUGGGGAGUACGUUCGCAAGAAUGAAACUCAAAGGAAUUGACGGGGGCCCGCACAAGCGGUGGAUUAUGUGGUUUAAUUCGAUGAUACGCGAGGAACCUUACCAAGACUUAAAUGGGAAUUGACAGAUUUAGAGAUAGAUCAUUCUUCGGACAAUUUUCAAGGUGCUGCAUGGUU
RNAcentral lists this ribosomal RNA (252 nucleotides) under uncultured bacterium. RNAcentral's name for it is "partial 16S ribosomal RNA". It matches the Rfam family "Bacterial small subunit ribosomal RNA", at positions 793 to 1050 of the family's 1533-position model. The record is from RNAcentral.